GACGAACGCUGGCGGCGUUCUUAACACAUGCAAGUCGAACGGAAAGGCCUCUUUCGGGGGGUACUCGAGUGGCGAACGGGUGAGUAACACGUGAGUAACCUGCCCUUGACUUUGGGAUAACUUCAGGAAACUGGGGCUAAUACCGGAUAGGAGCUCCUGCUGCAUGGUGGGGGUUGGAAAGUUUCGGCGGUUGGGGAUGGACUCGCGGCUUAUCAGCUUGUUGGUGGGGUAGUGGCUUACCAAGGCUUUGACGGGUAGCCGGCCUGAGAGGGUGACCGGCCACAUUGGGACUGAGAUACGGCCCAGACUCCUACGGGAGGCAGCAGUGGGGAAUAUUGCACAAUGGGUGGAAGCCUGAUGCAGCAACGCCGUGUGCGGGAUGACGGCCUUCGGGUUGUAAACCGCUUUCGCUCAUGACGAAGCUUUGUGUGACGGUAGUGGGUAAAGAAGCACCGGCUAACUACGUG
Molecule: ribosomal RNA, 467 nt
Filed under: uncultured bacterium
Lineage: Bacteria
Description: partial 16S ribosomal RNA
Rfam family: Bacterial small subunit ribosomal RNA
Source: RNAcentral